This is a long non-coding RNA of Cyprinus carpio (common carp), 240 nucleotides long. RefSeq lists it as uncharacterized. The transcript has 4 exons. NCBI's taxonomy places the organism in Eukaryota, Metazoa, Chordata, Actinopteri, Cypriniformes, Cyprinidae. The record is from RefSeq and is a predicted model, not a curated record.
GGGUCACACCGUAUGGACCGCUACCAUCAGAGAGGGAGACUGUGUACAUCAUCUAGAUGAAAACCCCCAGAAACCAUCAAAAGGCAGAAAGAGACAAAGUAGCACGUCAGAGGAAGAGCUCUGUCACAAACGCAGUAAGAAAGCUCGCGGCAUUGACGAGCCCGACUGUAACGCGACGGCCGCGGCUCCGGACCUGACGGACCAGCAGCUGAUGCAGGUGGCCAAACGCAUGGGGAUGGG